GUCACUGCUAUCAGUAUUCGAUUAAGCCAUGCGAGUCAAAUGUUWUUCGUAAACAUGGCGUACUGCUCAGUAACACGUGGAUAAUCUGCCCUAAGGUCAGGCAUAACUCCGGGAAACUGGUGAUAAUUCCUGAUAUAUCAUAGAUACUGGAAUGUUCUGUGGUCAAAAGCUCCGGCGCCUUAGGAUGAAUCUGCGGCCUAUCAGGUUGUAGUGGGUGUAGUGUACCUACUAGCCGACGACGGGUACGGGUCGUGAGAGCAAGAGCCCGGAGAUGGAUUCUGAGACAUGAAUCCAGGCCCUACGGGGCGCAGCAGGCGCGAAAACUUUACAAUGCGGGAAACCGCGAUAAGGGGAUACUGAGUGCCAGCAUCUUAUGUUGGCUGUCCGCAUGUAUAAAUAGCAUGUGUUAGCAAGGGCCGGGCAAGACCGGUGCCAGCCGCCGCGGUAACACCGGCGGCCCGAGUGGUGGCCACUAUUAUUGGGUCUAAAGGGUCCGUAGCCGGUUUGAUCAGUCUUCCGGGAAAUCUGACAGCUCAACUGUUAGGCUUCCGGGGGAUACUGUCAGACUUGGGACCGGGAGAGGUAAGAGGUACUACAGGGGUAGGAGUGAAAUCUUGUAAUCCUUGUGGGACCACCAGUGGCGAAGGCGUCUUACCAGGACGGGUCCGACGGUGAGGGACGAAAGCUGGGGGCACGAACCGGAUUAGAUACCCGGGUAGUCCCAGCCGUAAACGAUGCUUGSUAGGUGUUUGGGACGGUGCGACCGUUUCAGGUGCCGCAGGGRARCCGUGAAGCGAGCCACCUGGGAAGUACGGCCGCAAGGCUGAAAAUUAAAGGAAUUGGCGGGGGAGCACUACAACGGGUGGAGCCUGCGGUUUAAUUUGAMUUAAAGCCGGGAAACUYACCUGGGGCGACAGCAAWAUGUAGGUCAGGSUGAAGGUUUUACCUGAAUUGCUGAGAGGAGGUGCAUGGCCGUUGUCAGUUUGUACUGUGAAGCAUCCUGUUAAGUCAGG
This 1013-nucleotide ribosomal RNA is filed under the name uncultured euryarchaeote. RNAcentral describes it as "bacterial SSU rRNA". It matches the Rfam family "Archaeal small subunit ribosomal RNA", at positions 23 to 1038 of the family's 1478-position model. The record is from RNAcentral. Lineage: Archaea; Methanobacteriati; Methanobacteriota.